This 253-nucleotide ribosomal RNA is filed under the name uncultured bacterium. RNAcentral's name for it is "partial 16S ribosomal RNA". It matches the Rfam family "Bacterial small subunit ribosomal RNA", at positions 524 to 776 of the family's 1533-position model. The record is from RNAcentral.
UACGGGGGGGGCAAGCGUUGUUCGGAAUUACUGGGCGUAAAGCGCACGUAGGCGGCUUUGUAAGUUAGAGGUGAAAGCCCGGGGCUCAACUCCGGAACUGCCUUUAAGACUGCAUCGCUUGAACGUCGGAGAGGUGAGUGGAAUUCCGAGUGUAGAGGUGAAAUUCGUAGAUAUUCGGAAGAACACCAGUGGCGAAGGCGGCUCACUGGACGACUGUUGACGCUGAGGUGCGAAAGCGUGGGGAGCAAACAGG